This 363-nucleotide long non-coding RNA is filed under the name Amazona collaria (yellow-billed parrot). RNAcentral's name for it is "lncRNA (ENSACOG00000002409.1)". The record is from RNAcentral. Lineage: Eukaryota; Metazoa; Chordata; Aves; Psittaciformes; Psittacidae.
CUUUUUCUGACAUGUGACUAUUGUGACUUCUUUUACAGAGUAGUGAAUACAAAAAAGAGGAGAGGAUUCAAGAAGAAAAGAGCCAUCAGCAUGUAAGGACUGUGGGGGAUAAAGGAAAACUCAUUGAAAAAGAGGAAAGUGACACAGGACAAGAGGCAAUUAAAGAUACACGCGUCUAUAAUUCAGACACAGGAUUUGAUAAUUUUUCAGCAAAUUAUGAAGAUGAUUUUGAAGUAAGUAAAAGCAUACAAUUGUCUUCUUGAAGUAAUCCUAAAAAUGUCAAAAUAGUGAUUAACUUUAUUCACAGAAAGAAAAAUUACAGAGUGAUACGUGGUUUUUACUUUCUCAUUUUUUGGUGACAGU